CUGAGCGUGCCGCCGCCGCUGCACCGGAUCACGCCCUCGUGAAUGCUCGUCUCCUCCGCGCCGUCGAUCACCACGGUGAACACGUGGUGGGCGGCCGUGGCAGAGGUGAUCGGGCCGACGGCCACCAUUCUCGCUCUGAAUUUUAUAUGUACUCCGUAUGUGAUCUUACUGGCUUGCUCCUUUCUCUUAUCUGAAACUUUUAUUCACUUUGUGGCGAGUCCUUGGAACUUCCAAGUUGAAGGUAUUAUAAAGAGGCAUGUUGCUUAAGGGCUAAGGUAGCAAAGAGGUUAAUUCCUGAUCCCUCUCGGUCAUAUGAGGUGACGACGACUGAUUGAGAUCGGCUGUUUGCAUAAACAUUUAUUGUAGAGUGUGUACGUAGCAGCUCACCAACCGUUGCUGCCCAACCGUGCACACUAAUCGCUGGUUGCUGAAAUGUGCAGGCUUCUGUGCUUUCUGGAUAAGCUGUACAAUCGACGGAAAUACUUAAAUAUACAUGUAUAUCAACAAGAAAUUUCUUACACAAGCCAGUAAGGUUUACGUGCAAAUGAAUUUUAGAGGUAUACAUCAAAGUGAGAUAGGACUAUCGAAAUGUAUGUUGGAUUUGUCCAAAGACCAGUCACAUGAAGAUGCACAUGAUCGGGAAUUUAUUUGGUCAGAGGCACCUGUCGUGGCUCUCUUUUUAUUUCUUUUCAAUAAUUUAAAUCCCACGUUACAAAAGCUAACCCUGGUGCAUCUAUAUAUACACCCAAAAUCACCUAAUGCUAAUAGGACUAGAACUUAAUGUGCAAAGCUAAUUAGACUCGUAUUAGUGCUACUACUCGAACUCAGGACGGACCAGUCCUAAACGGACUCAUACAACAAGAUUAUUCUAACAAUGUACAGGUCUAGCAUAUUGAGUCUGUUGUCUGCCCAUCCUUUCACUUUGGAGAUUAAAGUGAUUUUGCAUUUCCCUGGUAGAAAUCGUAGAUUAUUCGCAAUUAGGGUUUCUGCUUUAUGUUGGUCAAUUUGAAAAGCUAGGAAUUUAGCCUUUUUUUCAAAAUGUUUAUCCUAGUGAUCCGUCUAAUUUGGUUUUCUCCAUAGUUACUGAAUCAAUUACUGGGCGGGGCUUCAGAAAUCAGGAGUUAAGGAGAAGAUGGAGCUGGGGGCUCAACUUUUGCAGCUCGUGGCGAGACAUGGAUGCGUUGGCUUGCCUGACCAAUGGACCUUGAUGUUUGGUUGGACUUCAUUUUGGUUUCUGGCCGAGUUCUGAUUAGGGCAGUUCAUACUGCCUAUGUCGGUAUGCUUUGGCAUUUCCUUUCAGUUUUCAAACCUCUUCCGAACUGCUGAACAUCAAACUUGUAGUUCGAUUUCAUUAAUGAUAUACGGGGAAUUUACACAUUUCUCUCCUGACAUGGAUUACAAGUUAACUUAAACUUACAAAAUUUCUCUCCCAGUUCGGGAGCAAAGUACCGAAAAGGAGAAUUUUGGUGUGUAAGCAGCCGCGGGAGGUUUUAAUGGGGGUCUGCUCGUGU
Molecule: long non-coding RNA, 1511 nt
Filed under: Brachypodium distachyon (stiff brome)
Lineage: Eukaryota; Viridiplantae; Streptophyta; Magnoliopsida; Poales; Poaceae
Description: long non-coding RNA (BDIS_LNC005020)
Source: RNAcentral